AACGAACGCUGGCGGCAGGCCUAACACAUGCAAGUCGAGCGAGGACUUCGGUCCUAGCGGCGGACGGGUGAGUAACGCGUGGGAACGUGCCCUUUGCUUCGGAAUAGCCCUGGGAAACUGGGAGUAAUACCGGAUGAGCCCUUUGGGGGAAAGAUUUAUCGGCGAAGGAUCGGCCCGGGUUGGUUUAGGUGGUUGGUGGGGUAAUGGCCUACCAAGCCGACGAUCAAUAGCUGGUUUGAGAGGAUGAUCAGCCACACUGGGACUGGGACACGGCCCAGACUCCUACGGGAGGCAGCAGUGGGGAAUCUUAGACAAUGGGGGAAACCCUGAUCUAGCCAUGCCGCGUGAGCGUUGAAGGCCUUAGGGUUGUAAAGCUCUUUCAGCUGGGAAGAUAAUGACGGUACCAGCAGAAGAAGCCCCGGCUAACUCCGUG
RNAcentral lists this ribosomal RNA (433 nucleotides) under uncultured bacterium. Its description in RNAcentral is "partial 16S ribosomal RNA". It matches the Rfam family "Bacterial small subunit ribosomal RNA", at positions 29 to 507 of the family's 1533-position model. The record is from RNAcentral.